GGAGCUGUAGCUUAGAGGAAGAGCACACGCCUGGCAUGCAUGGCACCCUGGGUUCUAGCCCCAGCACUGCCA
RNAcentral lists this transfer RNA (72 nucleotides) under Cricetulus griseus (Chinese hamster). It matches the Rfam family "tRNA". Rfam says of the family: Transfer RNA (tRNA) molecules are approximately 80 nucleotides in length. Their secondary structure includes four short double-helical elements and three loops (D, anti-codon, and T loops). Further hydrogen bonds mediate the characteristic L-shaped molecular structure. tRNAs have two regions of fundamental functional importance: the anti-codon, which is responsible for specific mRNA codon recognition, and the 3' end, to which the tRNAs corresponding amino acid is attached (by aminoacyl-tRNA synthetases). tRNAs cope with the degeneracy of the genetic code in two manners: having more than one tRNA (with a specific anti-codon) for a particular amino acid; and 'wobble' base-pairing, i.e. permitting non-standard base-pairing at the 3rd anti-codon position. Lineage: Eukaryota; Metazoa; Chordata; Mammalia; Rodentia; Cricetidae. The record is from Rfam by way of RNAcentral.